CACAAACACUCAUCACUGGUAACCUACAGUAAAAGGAUUGCUCAGUAUUAGUUCUAUACAGCAAGUCAAGACAAGAUGGAUUCCUGUUCUUAUUUUAAGCUGAUAGGAUGCUUCAUUCUUAUUAGCAUUGCUAUUGUUCCAACACAAGGUUGUUUUCCUCUUGACUGUCAGGAGGCAUACAAAAAUGGUACAGUAUGCAGUGGAGUAUAUACUGUGACACCUGAUGAUCUACCAGCUUUUGACGUCUAUUGUGAUAUGAGUA
Amphimedon queenslandica is the source of this 262-nucleotide long non-coding RNA. RefSeq lists it as uncharacterized. The transcript has 3 exons. The record is from RefSeq and is a predicted model, not a curated record. NCBI's taxonomy places the organism in Eukaryota, Metazoa, Porifera, Demospongiae, Haplosclerida, Niphatidae.